GAUGAACGCUAGCUACAGGCUUAACACAUGCAAGUCGAGGGGAAACGACAUCGAAAGCUUGCUUUUGAUGGGCGUCGACCGGCGCACGGGUGAGUAACGCGUAUCCAACCUGCCCAUCACUUGGGAAUAACCUUGCGAAAGUAAGACUAAUACCCAAUGACAUCCCACGAAGACAUCUGAAUGGGAUUAAAGAUUUACCGGUGAUGGAUGGGGAUGCGUCUGAUUAGCUUGUUGGCGGGGUAACGGCCCACCAAGGCAACGAUCAGUAGGGGUUCUGAGAGGAAGGUCCCCCACAUUGGAACUGAGACACGGUCCAAACUCCUACGGGAGGCAGCAGUGAGGAAUAUUGGUCAAUGGGCGAGAGCCUGAACCAGCCAAGUAGCGUGCAGGAUGACGGCCCUAUGGGUUGUAAACUGCUUUUAUAAGGGAAUAAAGUGGGUCUCGGGAGACUUUUUGCAUGUACCUUAUGAAUAAGGACCGGCUAACUCCGUG
Molecule: ribosomal RNA, 492 nt
Filed under: uncultured bacterium
Lineage: Bacteria
Description: partial 16S ribosomal RNA
Rfam family: Bacterial small subunit ribosomal RNA
Source: RNAcentral